GACGUAGGGCGCGAGCGUUGUCCGGAUUUAUUGGGCGUAAAGAGCUCGUAGGCGGCUUGUUGCGUCGACUGUGAAAACCUGCGGCUCAACCGUGUGGUCUGCAGUCGAUACGGGCAGGCUGGAGUUCGGUAGGGGAGACUGGAAUUCCGGGUGUAGCGGUGGAAUGCGUAGAGAUCCGGAAGAACACCGGUGGCGAAGGCGGCCUGCUGGGCAGUUGCUGACACUGAGGCGCGACAGCGUGUGGAGCAAACAGG
Molecule: ribosomal RNA, 254 nt
Filed under: uncultured bacterium
Lineage: Bacteria
Description: partial 16S ribosomal RNA
Rfam family: Bacterial small subunit ribosomal RNA
Source: RNAcentral